RNAcentral lists this ribosomal RNA (381 nucleotides) under uncultured Pelotomaculum sp. RNAcentral's name for it is "bacterial SSU rRNA". It matches the Rfam family "Bacterial small subunit ribosomal RNA", at positions 996 to 1382 of the family's 1533-position model. The record is from RNAcentral. Lineage: Bacteria; Bacillati; Bacillota; Clostridia; Eubacteriales; Desulfotomaculaceae.
GCGUAUGAAGUACGUUUCACCUCGGUGACAGGGAGACAGGUGGUGCAUGGUUGUCGUCAGCUCGUGUCGUGAGAUGUUGGGUUAAGUCCCGCAACGAGCGCAACCCCUACGUUAGUUGCUAACGCGUGAAGGCGAGCACUCUAGACGAACUGCCGUUGACAAACGGAGGAAGUGGGGAUGACGUCAAAUCAUCAUGCCCCUUAUGUUCUGGGCUACACACGUGCUACAAUGGCCGGUACAGACGGACGCAAAGCCGCGAGGUGGAGCAAAUCCUAAAAAGCCGGUCUCAGUUCGGAUUGCAGGCUGCAAUUCGCCUGCAUGAAGUCGGAAUCGCUAGUAAUCGCAGGUCAGCAUACUGCGGUGAAUACGUUCCCGGGCCUU